Molecule: long non-coding RNA, 9503 nt
Filed under: Panax ginseng (ginseng)
Lineage: Eukaryota; Viridiplantae; Streptophyta; Magnoliopsida; Apiales; Araliaceae
Description: long non-coding RNA (PGIN_LNC009245)
Source: RNAcentral
AGAAGGUGACAACUAAAAGUAAUGGUCAUGCCCCUCCAUCAACUAGGUUAAUGGUCUACGGGUAUGUAUAUAUUGCUCUGAGUUUCUGCUUAUUGUUCUGUACCCAAUGUUCAGUUCUAUAUCGGGUAUGUUGCCCUUCUACUGUUUGACAAAAUGCCUGUAUAAGUUUUUUUUUUAUUGUGUCUAAAUUUUCUUUGAUAUGGACUCUUUUUUUGGGACGUGGACUUGAGAACAAUUUUGAGAACUUGAAUCUCAUAUAUAUUUAUGAGGAAUGAGCACUAAAAGAGUAGCAUGAACAUAUUUUCGUUUACAAGAUACUAAUACCAUCACCCCGAUAACCAAAUCAGUUAAGAACAUAUAUGAGAAGGAUUUGUAAAUCUCUAUAAAAUUAUAGGCUUUGAGUGAAUGUCAAAUUUUUCUGAUGAGGACAGUUGAGGCUCCUAAAUAAGAUGAAGAACAGCCUAUAUUAGCAUUCUGUUAAGGAAAUAUUAGUCAUAAUUAAGAAGUGGGUUAAAUUCUUUUGAACAUAAAAAUAGAGAAAUUAAACCUUAAACUGGCACACAUACAUACCUGUGGUGGCUGGCCUAGUCUUUCUUGAGCUUCUGUGAUUUUUUUGCGCAUAGAUUUCAGUAAGCGUCCGUACGUUAAUUUAGGUUCAUUUGUCAACGUUUGGAUGAAACUGUAAGUUAGUGCACCGGCUGAAUUACCUGUGAAAGCCUGUGCAAGUAAUGUAAUAUCUAAUCAACUACCACUAUUUUAAUAAUUGAUAAAUGUGAUAUUUACUUGUAUUUAUCAAGCAUCAUUCUUCUUUUUCUUCACUUAAGGAGAGCAAUAGAAAAGAAAACGGUGUGCGAUAUUAAUGAAUUAAUCUCCUCAGUGCAUGUGUUCUGAAUUUUUCUGUGAAUAACCUCAACAUUAUAACAAAUACCCCCUUCAUGUGUGUUUUAUGAAAUAUCAAUAUAUAUAAUUAGGAGCAAAAGGCAUAUAAGGACUAACUGUCGUGUCCCCAGACUUUUGAUGAUCAUCACAAGCACUAAUUGAGACUGCUAUUCCCCCACUGGCUCCUUUGUAUUCAGCAUACUGGAUACGCUGAUCUUCCCAUGUAGUUUCUCCUUUCCUGAUUAAGACGACAAUCUUUUUGUUAUAGAAGUAGUACCAAUCAAGAUACGCUUUCUGACUGUAUUUCUUCACCAUGUUAAGUGAUCGGUGAAGUUUAGCUGAAAUGUUUUAAGAACACAAAUGCAAAUUGAGGAGGAGCUUAUAAAAGCCUACUAAUCCAUGUCCUUAAGUACUAUUCCUCUGUCCCUAAAAAAUGGUUCUAUUUUUUGGGAUGCGUGGAAUGCAUUUCGUGGUGUACCAAAUAUACACUUGCAUAAUUUUUGUUUGAUAUAUUAUGGAGUGAAAUGGAAUAUAUAUAUAAAAAAAAUCAUUUAUGAAUAUGGUUUUCAAAAGGACACAGUCAAACUGGUUCUACGCACACAUAAAGAGGACCUUUUUCAGGAUUGGAGGGAGUAUUAGUGAAGAAAUUACUAACCUGUUCAUUCUACACAUAAAAGGUAGAUCUAUAAUACUUCCACUGAAGCAGGUGUCAAUGAUGGCAUGAAGUUUGGCUCCUUGACGUAGCGGGCGGACAGUUAAGGCAUUAAUCUCGUCAUCUGUUAUCUUCCCGGCAGUCUUAUAGUCAACAGGGCAUAGCACCUCAUCAAAACCAUCAAUCUCGUCCCCAUCAAAGUCGCGCUCUCUUGAGCCAUGUCCCGAGUAGUAAAACACUAGUGAGUCCCCUGGUUGACAGCCUUCAACAAGCCAACUUAAGGCCAUCUGCAUGUUACCCUUAGUUGGGAUCCGAGAGGGGUCCGUUUCAUCUUCUACAGAUUAAUAAUAUUUGUCACAAAAUUAGAACUCAUGUAUAGAAAUCCUUAAUUAGUACACUACAAAAAAACAGGUCAUUGGCGACGGCAGUAUCCCCGUCGCCAAUAACCUCCUUCUCGACGGCAUAGCCGUCGCCAAUGGUCCCCGGCGAGAAUGACCCUUCCCGGGCCUAAAUUUGGUGGGAAUUUUUUGGCGGGUGUGGGAAAAGGGCAUUGGCGACGGCCUUUGCCGUCGGUAGUGAGUGUCGUCGAGAAUGGGUUUAUAUUUACUUUCAGUAACUUAAAUUUUUUCAUUUUUGCUAUUCCUUUUUCUCCCUCUUCUUCCUCGCGUUGUCACCGGCUUCCCUUUCCCGUCGCCCACUGGCCUUUUCUUGUUGUCGCCGUCCUCUCUUGCCGUCGCCGUCUCUCUUCCCGUCGUCGUCACUCUCUGUCUCUCUCGAUUGCAAGGUAACAUCUUCCCAAUUUCAAUUUUCCCCCAAAUAUAACUUAAUAAUCCCUUCUUCUACAAUUUCACUCUAUUUUCUCCAAAUAUCAAUUGCAGUGUAUUACUAUUUCAAAUGUUUGCAAGUUUACAUGAAAAUUUUAAUGUGUACAGAUAUCCAAUUAUAUUGCAGUGCAAUUUUACUCCACACGAACUAUUUGGUUUGAUGAAUCAAUCUCUCUACUAUAUUUUGUAUUCAUCGUGACCUUUUCUUAUAUUUAACUUUCAACAUUUCAAUCGAUUCUUGUCUAGUACAGAUCAAGUAUGAAUGAGUGCAUCCAAGCUAUUUGUAAUAAACUACUAUAUUGUUAUACCUUGAUAAUGAGUUUUUAUUAAAUUUUAAUGUGUUCAAGUGUUUUAAGGAGAGUAGACAAUACCAGUAAGGAGAAUGAUGGAUGAAUCUGGAAAUCUCAUGCUACGAACCAGAAAAUCCUUCAUAGAUAUGGCGUCGUUAAUGCUGCCGUCAAGGCUACUCUUUUGGCCACGGUAGCUCACACCGCAUAUCACUGCCCGCUUCCUUCCGUACUUCGGAGGAUUUGAUACCUGUGGUGAUAUUUGCACAUGAGGUGAAGAUAUACGUGGUGAUUGUUGUGAUGGUUGCUGAUGAUAACUGUUCACUCUAGCCGGAGGAGGCGAUACCUCUUGUACUGCUGAUUGCAAGGAUGCUUGUGGUGGCGUUCUGAAUGGUUGUUGGUAGUAGCCAUUACUAUCCACCCGAGGUGGUGACACAUGUGGUGAUGGCACAUGUGUCAAAGCUUGUGAUGGUUGUUGAUGGUAACCGUUAGUAUACACCCAAGGUGAUGACCCAUGUGGUGGUGGUUGAACUUGCGCUGUUGACACCUGGGGUGAAGUUUGUAAUGGUUGUUGGUAAUAACCAUUACUUUGCACCCAAGGUGGUGACACAUGUGAUGAUGGUCGUGGCGAUGAUGAUGAAAGAUGUGAUGGUGCUUGUGAUAGUUGUUGGUAAUAAUCGUGAAUAUACUCUGAAGGAGGUGAAUCUUGUUCAUAAUAACCACUAUUAUGUGUUGGACGAGGUGAUGUUUGUGGUUGUUGGUAAUAAUCUUCACUGUCCAUCGGACGAAGGGAUGACUGUGGUGAUGAUGCUUGAAACGGCUGUUGGUAAUAACCGUUACUAUGUUACUAUGUGGUGGACGAGGUGAGCCCUGUGGUGGUGAUGUUUGCAUUGGUGGUCGAAAAACACUGUUAGUUCUCAAUGGACGAGGUGAACGUUGAGGUGGUGUUACCUCUGGUUGAUAAUAAUCAUUGGUAUAAGUUGGACGAGGUGAUCCUUGUGGCGACAAUGUUUGUGGUGGUUGCUGGUAAUAAUUACUAUUACCAUGCGCUGGACGUGGUGAUCCAUGUGGUGAUGAUGUUUGUGGUGCUUGCUGAUAAUAAGAAUUACCAUGAACUGGAUGAGGUGAGCCAUGUGGUGAUGAUGUUUGUGGUGGUUGCUGAUAAUAAGUUUUAGUUCUCACUGGAAGAAGUGAUUCUAAUGGUAAGGGCUGAUCAUAGUAAACAUUAUUAGGAGGAUUAGGAGGAGGAGGUGGUGGUUGAUAGUAGCCAUGACCAAUCACCCCACGAGGUGAUAACUGUUGUGGACCUUGUGGGGAUGCAUGUAGUGGUGGUUGUCUUUGAGGUGGUGAUGGAAAUGGACCUUGAUGAUAACGGUUAUUCGCAUUCAUGUUGCCAGGAGGUCCAUUUGCAUAAUUAAUAUACUGGCUGGUUGACGGGCGACCAUAGCUGUUGAUAUUCCGGCAUACCGGACACACCACUGUUUGUGCCUCAAGGGGCAUCCUCAGUUCUGCUCCACAGACGUUGCAUAGCUUUCUUAUAGUUGACAUCUUUCUAACUUGUGACCUCCUAAGAAGGGAAAGGCCAAGCUAAAUGGAUUCACGGAAAGUGGAUGUAAGAGGGAGUUGAAUGUUUUUGGUGAGUUUUUAAGUUUGCUCUUUGUGCAAUAUAUAUAUAUAUUUAGAGAGAGAGAAUUUAGUACUGGUGUAUCAUACCCAUAGGAUAGGAUGCUACAUUCAAGAGAAUUUCCCCUUUUUCAGAUAUGGGUAUAUCGUGAGUAGACCCUUAUAUAUUACGUGAUCGAUUUGAAAUUGAUGUGGCUCAAAAGGGGUAGGAAUAGAUUGAAACUAACAUGGGUAACAGUAAUUGAAAAAGAAAUGCAAUAUAUAAAAAUAACUGAGAAUAUGACUUGAACAGAAUUAGUGUAACCAAACCAAACUAGUUUGGCGCUAAGACUUAGGUGAGUAGAUACACAUCUACUUAUAUAAGAACAUUAUAUCCAUAUAGCUUUAUUCCAUCAACCAAGUUGGUGAGUGUGUGAAGAAUCUGAUUCAGUCUUUCUAGUCCUUUCGGUUCACUCCUUUUGUAUUGAGUUGAUAGAACAUUUUUCUGGAUUGGCUUCUCUAGAAUGAUUACCAAAAAGUGGGAUGGGGUUGAAUGAUUUCUUUAGAAGCAGAGAAGGAGAUAAAAGAUACAAAAGCACAGAUAAAAGCUUAAAUGAUACUUAUAUUGUGAUGGCUUUCAUUAAUUGGAUCGAUUUAACAGAUCCAAUUACUAAAAUGAUCCAGACAACUGUGUGUGUCACGCUUUAAAGUAAAGGGUUGGUAGUUUCACAGCCUUGUUAUUUUUCCUGACCAGAUAACAGGGAUCAUUUCCCACUUGUUCUUUGUUUCUUUCCUUCUCUUUCAUUUUUGCCUCUUGUUCUUUGCAUGCUACAAUUUUUCUGAAUUAAAGGGGAAUCUGAAGACUAAAAUGGACUGUGGUGAACCAGAUUUAGAAUAUAGAGGUUGCUGGUAAAGGGAUAACUUACUUUAUUUAUAGCUAUUUCAAGGACGCUAGUUUUUCAGCUUGUGGUAUACAUUUUGUGGAAAGAAGGAACAAUACUUGUCUAGGAGAAUUCAACUGGAAUCACAUGACCUGAUAGCUUGAAAUUAUUUCUAUAGUCAAGAUGAAAUUGUGCGUUGGUUUGGUUGCAUGGAAUUUUGUCUUUGUUCGAAUUGUACAGUUUAGUUUUGUUUUGUGUAUGCUGGCUCUUUGUUGUAUAUGCUCUUCUGUAUCGUCCUUUGUGUUGCAAUAAAAUUUGAAUUACGACAGAAAAUGUAUAUAUUUGCAUGUUUGCCAAUUUAAGCACAAAUUGGAGGUAAUAGGUAUCCUAAAGUCAGAUCAAAAUCCUAAUUAACACAGCAUAUUUAUGGUUAAGAAUCAAGCAUUCAAGGUUCUAUUGAAUAGCAAGACGCAAGCUUAAUGGGACUCAAAAUUUCGCUGUUAGAGGUGUCUAGAACUCAGGUUUAAGAGAUUUAUUUUAUCUAGUGUUUUCCAUCAGUCUUGAAACUUUUGUUCCUUCAUUCAUACAGGUUCAAAAAGUUGUUUACUGGCUAAUUACACUGGCAGCACCAGGCCAACCACCCUUGAAGAGUUUCAGUCAAAUGGUUUGGGCAAUAUUUGAAAGAGGUAUGAUACUAUAUGUUUCAUAUGCAUAUUGAAAUUACCAGAUUAAAAGUGUAGAAAGAGUUGGAUCAAAUUUUACCUGUUAAUUCACUGGUAUAUGUGCUUUCAGUAUAUUGACUAUCAUUUUAUUAGAACACAAAUGUAUAUUUGUAGCAAUCAUUGUUGUCAUUAUUUAAAUAAAUACAUUGUUUAGCUCUUCCAAUAGAUUAAAUUUAUUGCUCACAAUCUUGAAGAAGGUAAAAGGGAAGCGAAUAACAAAUCGCUGAGAUCAAACCUUAUUUCAAGCUUUAAUAUAUUUGGCUAGAAUAUGGUCGAGCACAAUUCUCUACAAGAUAAAAGCCUCAAGAAAACGUCGAACUUCUCGGUUGAGGACAGUUGUGGCACCUAUAAACAACCAAGUGAAGCGCCGCGCCCAUAUCAGCAUCAGUUUGAUGAUAACUAACUCAUGAAGUAUCAUGAUUAUUAAAAGCCAUUACUUUAUCAGCUAAUUUACAUCAUGCAUACAAUGAUAGAAUGAUCUCUCUCUCUCUCUCUCUCUCUCUCUCUCUCGUGUCUAUAUGUGUCUCACUUCAAAUAAAAUAUCCAUAACUACCUCCUUGAUGUCAUUCCCAUCCCAUGUUUUAAACACAUUCCCUAUCUACUUGGUUUUUGAAACCAAAAGCUGAACUCUACCACUAUGAGAAUCAUUAACCUACCUUUCAAUAAGUUUUUGAACAUCAUUAUUCUUAUAAUAUUGACGACGUAAUUUUUUUUUCUAUCUACCAUUAGUAUCUAAUAAAGAGAAGGUAGAUGUCUAACAUGAAAAGAAAAAACACUGUUUAUACUGAAAAUGUUACCAAGGACUUGUAUUUUUCAACAUCUGCAGUAUAUUGCAUAUUUGCAUGCAGCAGAAGCACCACGGCACAAGAAUGGAUUUUAUGUAUAGAGUUAUACCUGUGGUGGUUCACCUAGUUGUUGUUGAGCUUCAGAGAUUCUGUUGCCCAUGGAAUUCAUCAGUAAGCUCCCGUAUGUUAAGUUAGGCUCAUUUUCCACAGAAUGAAUGAAGCUAUAAGUCAGUGCACCAGCUGAAUCACCCGUGAAAGCCUGCACGUAAUUUUAGGAGAAAUAGCUCUUAAAUUCACACACAUAUAUUUAAGGAGAGAGUUUAGAAAUUAAUGAAUUUCAUUAAUAAAAAAACACAUACAGACAAAAACAUUAGACGAAGGAUGAUUUCGUCAAUCAUCUGCACAAGUUUAGAGGCUAAGAAAUGAUUACUAACCGUAGUAUCUCCAGAGUUUUGAUGGUCAUCACAGGCGCUAAUUGAGAUUGCCAAUCCCCCACUGGUAUCUUUGUAUGCACCAUAUUGAACUCGGUGAUCUUCCCAUACCUGUCCUUGCCUGUUUGAAAACAAUUACACAUGCAUAUUUCAAAUCUUGGCAUAUAUAAUGGUGGGAGAAAUGGCUAUAAAGUACAUAUUUUGAAUCUUUCCGUUGGUACUGGCAAGAGAAAUAUAUAGCUUCAGAGUACUACCUAAUUGUAAGGAACGGCUACUCUUCCCAAGUAUUUAAAAUUCCCACAAUGACAUGACAAAAUUUGAUAAUUUGAUUCUUUAAAAGGAAACCUUAUCUGGGGAAGUCCCAAAAAGGACAAAUGCUGUUAAAUUGGGACGGAGGGAGCACCUUCUUUUAGAAUUUGUUUUCUUAAACAACUGUAAUUAGGUUAGUGAAGAAAUAUUUAACCAGUUCAUCCUGCACACGAAUGGCAGAUCCACCAUAGUUCCACUAAAACAAGUAUCAGUGAUUGCAUGAAGUUUGGCUCCGCGAGGUAGUGGGUGUACAAUAGUGGCAUUAAUCUCAUCAUCUGAAAUCUUUCCGGCAGUCUUGUAGUCAACAGGGCACAGCAAUUCAUAACCGUCCAUUUCAUCCCCACUAAGGUCUUUUGUUCGGGAGGCAUGACCAGAGUAGUAAAACACCAGUGAGUCUCCUGAUUGGCAGCCUUCAACAAGCCAACGCAAUGCCAUUUCAAUGUUAUGCCUAGUUGGGAUCCUGGACAUAUCCGUUUCCACUUCUGCAAAAUUAGAACUUAAACAUUUAAAAUAAUUUUUAGUGGCUGAUGGAUCAAACCACAUUGUAUUGAACUCUCAUUUUUUUUCUUCUAAUGAUUGGCAUGCAUGAUGAUCUCACUAAGCUAUUAGCUCAUUAUAUCAGUUUCUACCAUUUUCAGGUGAUAAUCACGGAGCUGAAUCUGAACUUAGAGGAAGCUUCUGUUAAGUAAGAAAAUCUACUUGGUUAUAGACUUAUCAGAUAUGUUGAACUAUACCAGGUAAAUUUAAUAUUGCUUUAUAGGUCGCUUUAGAUACUACGUCAUCAUGUUUAGUUCGUUGUGGUUAUUGAAUGAUUCCAUGUUAAAAAUUUAUCCGUUGUUAAAAAAUAAUAAUAAUAAAUUUGAUUCAGUUAAGAGUUCAGGCGUGCAUGCGUAUCUGAGAAAGCUUAGAAAAUACCUGUAAGGACAAGAACGGAAGCAUUUGGAAAUCCCAUCACAUUGAGAAGAAAUUUUCUCAUGGAAAUGGCAUCAUUAACACUGCUCUUGAGACUACUUUUCUGGCCGAGAUAGCUCACGCCACAUAUCACUGCUCUCUGCUUCCCAUAAACUGGUGAAGGUGAGACCUGUGGUAAUAUAUUGGUACAUGUAGUGAGACCAAUGUUAAUAUGUGUACGUAGUAAUGCUUGUGCAAGAGUCUAUGCUACCAUUGUAAAAGUUGCUAAUACAUAAGAUGAAUCUCUGGGAUGAAGGUAGAAAAUCUUGUUCAAAGGGAACAUAUGAAUUAGAAAACUAGCUAGGAUUCACUAAUGAUCAAAUUAUAUCAGUGUUAAUUAGUUAAACAACCCGACCUUGUUACGUUAAGGAGCUUAAAAAUGUAAUCAAGUCUGGUUCAUUUAUUUAAUAUGCAUGAGUUAGUGAUACCUGUGGAGCUAAAUGUAAUCAAGUCUGGCUGUGGGGAUGUUGGCCAAGGUUGUAGGUAAUAACCAUUGUACUGGUUUGUUGCAGGAGUUUGCAAAGGUUGUUGGUAAGAAUAAUUAUACUGGUUUGCUCUCGGAGGACUAGAAGGUUGUUGGUAAUAACCAUUAUACUGGUUUGUUGCAGGAGGAGCCGUGUAGGCGCUGUUUCUUUGUGAGACAACGAUUACAGAUCCACAGGCCGGACACUGUAUGGAUUGUGUAUCAACUGGCACCCUCAGUUUUGUGCUGCAGCAGAUGCAUUUCUCUUUUCUAGUUGCCAUAUCUUGGGUGUAAUGUGCCUUUGUUGGAUACUAAAAGGCGAAAUGAAGAGAAUUUCUACAAAGUAAAUAAAGAGAGUUGAUAUUAUGGUGAAUUUCUGGUUUGCACGUUCUUGGGCAUUAUUUGUACACAGUGAUUUAUGUAGUUAUUCCUCUGGGAAUCAAAAUUUGAUUAUUUUUACUUCUCAGCUUUAUUCUAUGAACCAAAGGAUGAGAGUCUGCAGAACCAGAUUCAGUUACACUCUACUCCUUUCGGCGAGAGGCCUUUUGGAGUUGAUGAUUCGAAUGCAUCUUGAAUUGUAACUCCUCAGGCAUUCGGAUAUUUAUUUAUUUAUUUAUAUGAUGAAAUUUGAUUCAUUCUUUCUUUCUUUCUAAUCUUUCAUUCCAGAAUGGCGAUGUCAGAUGGUAAAACAGUGAUUCUAAAUAGCCAUAAGAGUAG